Long non-coding RNA from Bemisia tabaci, 981 nucleotides. RefSeq lists it as uncharacterized. The record is from RefSeq and is a predicted model, not a curated record. Lineage: Eukaryota; Metazoa; Arthropoda; Insecta; Hemiptera; Aleyrodidae.
CCCUAUGGUUUACCAGAGUAGGUACAGUUUUAUACAGUUGCAUCAUGUGAAUACUUUCAUAAAAACUAGAGGGAUUUAUUCGUGAAUUGAUGAAAAUGAGUGCUAACUAUGUGAUAUUGGACUUGAGAUUCAGUUCGUAUUAUUUUUCGACGCCGAUCGGUCUUGUGGUACGCAGUAGGAAAGCCCUGUUGCUGAGUGAAGUGUGAGUUCCAGUGAUGGUGCAGAUUUUGUGAAAAUCGCCAGCUGAUCAUUAAGUAUGUGCCUGGAACCUGGAAUUUUUCUGCUCACUGUGAAAGCAAGUGAAAACUACUGCUUUGACUUGGAAUUUUCUGGAAGUUCAUGGGUGGAAAAGGUACAGGUAAUAUUUAUUUCUUGGCAUGCUGAAAGAGAUAGGGAAAUUUGUGAUGGGAAUUUUGGACCGUGACUUUCUUUCAAAGCUCCAUCAACUCACAUGAUCAGUGAGUAGGUACCUUUAUGAAAGAUGUUGAACUCUGGUGCCUAAUUGUGUGAAGAGAGGGAAGUAAGCCUUGGGUCACUUGAUUUUAAAGGAGAGCCCACGUUUACUCAUUGAAAACAAGAUUGUUGGAGCUUUUCAUUUGAGUUAUUAUCCAAUUUUCUCCCCACAACUGAAAACACAUGAUCGAUUUGGAAGGAGGAACUAGCCAAAAAUCAAGUUUCUUAUUUUUUACUCAGGAAACUCAUUUCAGACUCGCAAGGCUGGAAUGAUGUUAUUUAUACAAUUGAAUAAUUCUGUUUAUUCUUCUUUUGGAGAUCAUUUGUUGACUCACGGAUCCAUAUUCUUAUGAAGGCAUCGUGUUCAUUUUAAGAUGAGCCCUGGGCUCCAUAUGAACACAUUUAUUUCAAGACUCAUCAGAAAUUUUAACUUCCUUGCUCAAUUAAAAUAUGGAUUUAUGAGUGGACAAAUACUGUCAAAAGAGAAUUAAAUAGGACUUUAAAAAAUAAUAAUAAAAAAAAAAAAAA